Pocillopora verrucosa is the source of this 396-nucleotide non-coding RNA. Lineage: Eukaryota; Metazoa; Cnidaria; Anthozoa; Scleractinia; Pocilloporidae. The record is from RefSeq and is a predicted model, not a curated record.
GUUAUGAAAUUACUUAGCACUCACUCGCCAAAAUUACGCCUGCUCUGCAGGCUAUAAUCUCCUUCGCAUCUUCUUUGAACCAAGCAUAAUCUGAACCAUCCGUAUGGCCAUUGAGGCAAUUUCCUUCAAUCUAAAAAGGGGUCAUCAAUAAGAGAAGCGAACUACAAAGGAUCCGAGAAUGAAGAGAAGCUCCAAAAGCUCGGCUUAUGACUCUGGAGGAACUGAACUUGAUAUAUUUGAUACACAAGGCAGUCUUCAAGGAGGAAGGGUACUCUGAAGGACGGAACACAAUUUGAUGGCAGUAUCCCUUGAGGAGAACCAUUUGUGUUUACAUUAGGAGUGGGACAAGUUAUCAAAGGAUGGGAUCAAGGACUAUUAAAUAUGUGUGAAGGAGAA